Molecule: small nucleolar RNA, 131 nt
Filed under: Mus spicilegus (steppe mouse)
Lineage: Eukaryota; Metazoa; Chordata; Mammalia; Rodentia; Muridae
Description: Small nucleolar RNA SNORA17 (ENSMSIG00000024475.1)
Rfam family: Small nucleolar RNA SNORA17
About the family: snoRNA ACA 17 belongs to the H/ACA family of snoRNAs and is predicted to guide pseudouridylation of the 28S rRNA at positions U4659 and U4598. It shares the same host gene together with ACA43. NB This family has a high threshold value to exclude a large number of closely related sequences that do not appear to have conserved H and ACA boxes, and may be pseudogenes.
Source: Rfam by way of RNAcentral
CCUGUCCCUAGAGGCAUUGCAGGUGUGGCUACUGUGUCACAUGUGUGUCAGUAGGUGGUAGAGAGGGAAAGGCCAUGUCUACACUCAGUGUCCUGACCUGGGAACAUCUGAAUGAUCAGUAGCCUAACACU